RNAcentral lists this ribosomal RNA (226 nucleotides) under uncultured bacterium. RNAcentral describes it as "partial 16S ribosomal RNA". It matches the Rfam family "Bacterial small subunit ribosomal RNA", at positions 29 to 228 of the family's 1533-position model. The record is from RNAcentral.
AAUGAACGCUGGCGGCGUGGUUAAGACAUGCAAGUCGAACGGUUUUUCAGGUGUAGCAAUACAUUUGUAAGAGCAGUGGCGAACGGGUGCGUAACACGUGAACAAUCUACCUUUUAGUUGUGGAAUAGCUCGGCGAAAGACCGGAUUAAUAACCGCAUGUGGUUGCCUCUCGCAUGAGAGACAUACUAAAGUACAGGGACCGGCAAGGCCUGACGCUAUUAGAGGA